AAGCGGGAUUCGUUUAGAGUUUGAUUAUGGCUCAGAACAAACGCUGGCGGCGUGUCUUAAGCAUGCAAGUCGAGCGGCAGGCGCAGCAAUGCGCUGAGAGCGGCGGACUGGUGAGUAACGCGUGGGUAAUCUACCUUUGGCAUGGGGAUAGCCACUAGAAAUAGUGGGUAAUACCGAAUACGUUCCCUGGGGGGAGGUUUCAGGGAAGAAAGGGUGCUACGGCACCGGCCGGAGAUGAGCUCGCGUCCCAUUAGCUUGUUGGUGAGGUAACGGCCCACCAAGGCGAUGAUGGGUAGCCGGCCUGAGAGGGUGUACGGCCACACUGGGACUGAGAUACGGCCCAGACUCCUACGGGAGGCAGCAGCUAAGAAUAUUCCGCAAUGGACGAAAGUCUGACGGAGCGACGCCGCGUGGAUGAUGAAGGCCGAAAGGUUGUAAAGUCCUUUUGCUGGGGAAGAAUAAGUGUGGGAGGGAAUGCCCGCAUGAUGACAUGAACCGGCGAAUAAGCCCCGGCCAACUACGU
Molecule: ribosomal RNA, 523 nt
Filed under: uncultured bacterium
Lineage: Bacteria
Description: bacterial SSU rRNA
Rfam family: Bacterial small subunit ribosomal RNA
Source: RNAcentral